CCCUGUUAACUCUAGAUGUAGACAAGAAAGGAAUCUUUGAACUAGCGGUUAGUGAACUUCAGUUGCCAGACCCCGAAUCCGAUGCUCCUGCAGAUGAAGUGGACGCUGAAAAGUACUGGCAACAAGUGAACUGUGGGAUCUUAUACAGAGGAUCUUAUACGUACUGAAAAAACCCUUUAGAAAUCAAGCCUUCAUAUAAGUUUUGGGCCCCAUAUAUUGGCCCAAAAUGCAGAAGAGGAAGGAAA
Molecule: long non-coding RNA, 245 nt
Organism: Xenia sp. Carnegie-2017
Lineage: Eukaryota; Metazoa; Cnidaria; Anthozoa; Malacalcyonacea; Xeniidae
Exons: 3
Source: RefSeq, a predicted model, not a curated record